CACAAGAACUCCAGGGAAGAAGUGAAGUUAGUAACAUGCAUUAAUGGGACAUAAAUGAGUUCAGAAAGAGAGGAAGAGGAAGAGAGGAGCUCAGUGCAUCAUGGGAAAUCCCCCGAUAGUCUAGGCCUAUAGCAGCAUAACUAAGGGAAAUCAAUCAAUCAUCAGUGUAUGAAUGUGGCUGAAUGGGGUGAGUGUGGCAUGUAGUGUACAGUCCAUUGAGUGGUCGAAACACUAGAAAGGCGCUAUAUAAGUACAGUCCAUUUACAUUAGCUUCUUCUCUUAGCCUCAGGUCCAUAUUCUCUACCCAUUUUUGACUGUUGACUGAAAAUAUAAUUAAAGGGGCACGCCACCAUUGUGGAGUGUGCUGGUGUUUCAGUAGCCCGUAUAGCCAGCUUGAGGAGCUGUACAAUUAGAGUAAGCAGCUCCUAAGGGCCCUAAGAAAUCCCUCAUACUGUUUUACAUUUGCAUUUCCCACAAGAAACAGCUUUCUUUAGGUUUCUUGGGAUUUUAAUUGUAGUUGAUUGCUCUCCACAUUUGCAUUUCACAAAGGUCAUCGUAAAAGUUGUAAAAGAGAGGAAAGGUUAUUACUUAAAAUCCUUGUGUGCCUUGCCUUCUGCUAACACAGCAUUCCUAAUGCCACUCAUAUUAUAAUUCAUUAAAUUGUAUAAUGUAUGAGAACACAGUACUAUACAUUUUCAGUUCCCUCUCACAUAAUGUUGCAUAGUCCAAGGUUGUUUACAUAAUAUGAAAAAACAUUUUAGUUAACUGAAAUAAAAAUAGAAACUAAGUAGACAAAACAAAAUCUAACUGAAACAAUAUAGUGUUCUCAUAAAACUAACUUUUUAACAUUUAAAAAAAUGUGUAUAUAUAGGAAAUGUAUUUUAUUUAAACCUAUUACUGCCAAUGUGACAGAAAAAAAAGAUUCCGUAAUGAGAAAUGUUUUGACUUUGUGAUACUAAGUCAUUAUUUUGAGAUACUAAGUCAAAGUAUUGAGAGAGUUUAGAUUUUUUGCAGUGUGACCUCAGUGUAAAGUCAUACCAGAAUGCAGAGCCGUUUCUUGAUUUAUGCGGACUAUGCGGCUGCAUAGGGCCCCGCAGCCACCAGGGGGCCCCCAAACUGCAAGUUCAGCCUCAUAUUUUAUUAUAUUUUGGAGAAAUAAAAGUACCUGUCUUUAUUUGCAUGUAUUGCAUGCAUUCAUUAUGCAUUUAUUUGCAAAGCAUGUAAGUGUUCGUUGGGUUAUCAGGUCAAUCACCUUUGGACUGGGCUGUCACGUGGUAAGUGACGUCUGCCGACAGGUCUGACGGGAUGAUUGACAGCCGCCCACCUUCCACUGAAGUGACGAGAAUAAAGGUAGACGCUGAUUACAACGUCAUUGAAACGUACUUCUGCGUCUGGUGCAGAGAAACGAAAAAAGGAGAAAACCGAUCACAGGAUCAAGGAGCAAUUUCCUACUUCAGAGGUCCAGUUCAAGGAGAGCCAGGUGGACCUUCAUCAGCUUCUGACCAGGAAGCAGAAGUUUUGAGGAGGAGAACGUAAGACUGAUCAUACAGAUCCUGAUCCUAAUGUUAAAGAGUUCGGUCUAGACCUGCUCUAUUUGAAAAGUGUCCUGAGAUAACUUCUGUUAUGAAUUGGCGCUAUACAAAUAAAAUUGAAUUGAAUUGAAUUGAUCACAAAGUAGUGAUGUUGUACAGUUAUAUAUGGUUCAUUUUAACUACAACUACAAUAUAUAACUACAUAACUAGUUUUUUUAUUUAUUUUUUAUUGAUUGUGCAAUAACAUGGAUGCUGGUCCAUUAUAUACUUAUUUAUUUAAGUAAGUUUAGUUAUUUAUUUUUUAUUGUUUUGGAAUGCCACCUCAAAGUUUACAUUAAACAUUUUUCAAGAA
This is a long non-coding RNA of Dicentrarchus labrax (European seabass), 1884 nucleotides long. RefSeq lists it as uncharacterized. The transcript is spliced from 2 exons. NCBI's taxonomy places the organism in Eukaryota, Metazoa, Chordata, Actinopteri, Moronidae. The record is from RefSeq and is a predicted model, not a curated record.